UACGGGAGGCAGCAGUAGGGAAUCUUCCGCAAUGGACGAAAGUCUGACGGAGCAAUGCCGCGUGAGUGAAGAAGGUUUUCGGAUCGUAAAACUCUGUUGUUAGAGAAGAACAAGGAUGAGAGUAACUGCUCAUCCCCUGACGGUAUCUAACCAGAAAGCCACGGCUAACUACGUGCCAGCAGCCGCGGUAAU
RNAcentral lists this ribosomal RNA (192 nucleotides) under uncultured rumen bacterium. Its description in RNAcentral is "partial 16S ribosomal RNA". It matches the Rfam family "Bacterial small subunit ribosomal RNA", at positions 340 to 524 of the family's 1533-position model. RNAcentral also lists the same sequence under 1 other name. The record is from RNAcentral.